GGUGAAUGCUGGCGGCGUGGAUAAGUCAUGCAAGUCAAGGGGGCCCGCAAGGGCAACCGGCAAACGAGGUAGUAACACGUAGGUAGACCCCCCAGAGUCGGGCAUAGCCAGCCGAAAGGUUGGGUAAUUCCCGAUAGUCCCGAAAGGGUAAAGGUUUUCGCUCUGGGAGUUGCCUGCGUAGUAUCAGCUAGUUGGUAGGGUAAUGGCCUACCAAGGCUACGACGCUUAGGGGAGCUGAGAGGCUGACCCCCACGAUGGAACUGCGACACGGUCCAUACUCCUACGGGAGGCUGCAGACGAGAAUAUUCCGCAAUGGGCGAAAGCCUGACGGAGCGACG
This 338-nucleotide ribosomal RNA is filed under the name uncultured bacterium. RNAcentral describes it as "bacterial SSU rRNA". It matches the Rfam family "Bacterial small subunit ribosomal RNA", at positions 28 to 396 of the family's 1533-position model. The record is from RNAcentral.